Molecule: ribosomal RNA, 270 nt
Filed under: uncultured bacterium
Lineage: Bacteria
Description: partial 16S ribosomal RNA
Rfam family: Bacterial small subunit ribosomal RNA
Source: RNAcentral
AAUCAACGCUGGCGGCGUGCCUAACACAUGCAAGUCGAACGCGAAAAUCCCGCAAGGGAUUAGUAGCGUGGCAAACGGGUGAGUAACACGUGGGUGACCUGCCUUCGAGUGGGGGAUAACGUCCCGAAAGGGACGCUAAUACCGCAUGACAUCCUGCUUUUGAAGAGGCGGAGAUCAAAGCUGGGGAUCGCAAGACCUAGCGCUUGAAGAGGGGCCCGCGCCUGAUUAGCUAGUUGGUGGGGUAACGGCUCACCAAGGCAACGAUCAGUA